Non-coding RNA from Pelobates cultripes (western spadefoot toad), 260 nucleotides. The record is from the annotation of a GenBank genome assembly. Lineage: Eukaryota; Metazoa; Chordata; Amphibia; Anura; Pelobatidae.
CAGUAUUUAAUAGGAAAUGUGUGGUGCUAGGCUUCAAGCAGCCAUUUUCACUGCAGGUCUUCCUUGCAACCAGUCAGCCACAGUAACAUGGCUGCAGCAGGCUGAUACACACACUGAAUUAGCCUGCUCUGUGACUGGCAUGAAAAUAGACUGAAAAGGAGGACCACGAACUGCUGAAGCAAGUAAGGUAAGUAAUAGACUUUGAGAAUUGUUUAAUUUAUAAUAGCAAUAGGACCGAAUUUGGGCCGAUUGGAUAAUCG